GGUUCGCUGCCGGCGACGUCGCGAGAAUUCCACUGAACCUUAUCAUUUAGAGGAAGGAGAAGUCGUAACAAGGUUUCCGUAGGUGAACCUGCGGAAGGAUCAUUGUCGAAUCCUGCGUAGCAGAACAACCUGUGAACAUGUAACAACAAAAUGGCUUCACUGGGGGUGAUGCUUGUGUUUCAGACCCUGUGAAGCCUUUUCAGCGCGUGUUUGUGGUUGCCUCUUUUGGUCGCUCAUUGAUGUCGUGCUGAUCUAACAACCCCCCGGCACAACAUGUGCCAAGGAAAUCAAAUCUCAACAGGGCGCGCGCUAUGACACCCCGUACGUGGUGUGUUCAUUGUAUGUUGCCGCUAUGUAAAAUCUUAAAACAACUCUCGGCAACGGAUAUCUUGGCUCACGCAUCGAUGAAAAACGUAGCAAAAUGCGAUACUUGGUGUGAAUUGCAGAAUCCCGUGAACCAUCGAGUUUUUGAACGCAAGUUGCGCCCGAGGCCACUUGGCUGAGGGCACGUCUGCCUGGGUGUCACGCAUCAUGUCGCCCAAAUCAAACUUACCUUACGGUACUGUGUUGCAUGUUGGGCGGAAACUGGUCUCCCGUGCCCGUGGCGUGGUUGGCCGAAAUACGAGUACCCUGACGAGUGACGCAUGACUGGUGGUGGUUGAUUAGACAGUCGUCCUGUGUCGUGCGUUGAUCACUGUGAUGGGAAAAGGCUUUUAAAAUAACCCUGAUGUUUGUUGUCUUGUGACAAACGUUUGAUUGCGACCCCAGGUCAGGCGAGACUACCCGCUGAGUUUAAGCAUAUCAAUAAGCGGAGGAAAAGAAACU
RNAcentral lists this ribosomal RNA (825 nucleotides) under Mikania sp. Ferreira 370. RNAcentral describes it as "eukaryotic LSU rRNA". The stretch from base 370 to 525 matches the Rfam family "5.8S ribosomal RNA". The record is from RNAcentral. Lineage: Eukaryota; Viridiplantae; Streptophyta; Magnoliopsida; Asterales; Asteraceae.